This is an unclassified non-coding RNA of Macaca fascicularis (crab-eating macaque), 300 nucleotides long. It matches the Rfam family "Metazoan signal recognition particle RNA". Rfam says of the family: The signal recognition particle (SRP) is a universally conserved ribonucleoprotein. It is involved in the co-translational targeting of proteins to membranes. The eukaryotic SRP consists of a 300-nucleotide 7S RNA and six proteins: SRPs 72, 68, 54, 19, 14, and 9. The record is from Ensembl. NCBI's taxonomy places the organism in Eukaryota, Metazoa, Chordata, Mammalia, Primates, Cercopithecidae.
GCCACAAAAGAGUGUUGGCAUGUUCCUGUAGCCCCUAGCUAAUACGGAGGCUGAAGCAGGACGGCUUGAAUCCAGGAAGGUGAGGCUGUAGUGGGCUAUGCUGAUCAUUGUCUGCACUAAGUUCAGCAUCAAUAAGGUAACCUCCAGGGAGAAGGGGACCACCAGGUUGCCUAAGAAGGGGUGAACCAGCUCAGGCAGGAAAUGCAGCAGGAAAAACUCCCAGAGUGAUCAGUAGUGGCGUCACAUGUGGAAAUAGCCACUGCACUCCAGCCUGGGUAACAGACUGACACUCUGUCUCAA